UAUAACCGGCGAUACCCGAAUGGGGAAACCCAGUGUGAUUCGUCACACUAUCAUUAACUGAAUCCAUAGGUUAAUGAGGCGAACCGGGGGAACUGAAACAUCUAAGUACCCCGAGGAAAAGAAAUCAACCGAGAUUCCCCCAGUAGCGGCGAGCGAACGGGGAGGAGCCCAGAGCCUGAAUCAGCAUGUGUGUUAGUGGAAGCGUCUGGAAAGGCGCGCGAUACAGGGUGACAGCCCCGUACACAAAAGCGCAUGUGCUGUGAGCUCGAUGAGUAGGGCGGGACACGUGGUAUCCUGUCUGAAUAUGGGGGGACCAUCCUCCAAGGCUAAAUACUCCUGACUGACCGAUAGUGAACCAGUACCGUGAGGGAAAGGCGAAAAGAACCCCGGCGAGGGGAGUGAAAAAGAACCUGAAACCG
RNAcentral lists this ribosomal RNA (419 nucleotides) under Salmonella enterica subsp. enterica serovar Typhimurium. RNAcentral describes it as "partial 23S ribosomal RNA". It matches the Rfam family "Bacterial large subunit ribosomal RNA", at positions 99 to 558 of the family's 2925-position model. Lineage: Bacteria; Pseudomonadati; Pseudomonadota; Gammaproteobacteria; Enterobacterales; Enterobacteriaceae. The record is from RNAcentral.